Xenia sp. Carnegie-2017 is the source of this 948-nucleotide long non-coding RNA. RefSeq lists it as uncharacterized. The transcript has 2 exons. The record is from RefSeq and is a predicted model, not a curated record. NCBI's taxonomy places the organism in Eukaryota, Metazoa, Cnidaria, Anthozoa, Malacalcyonacea, Xeniidae.
CUUUUCUACUUUAUCUACUCAUUAUAUCUCGUACUUUAAUCAUUAAAAGAUGAACAUACUCUUGAAAUGCUGACUCAUUCUGUUUCAAGUGCACUUAAUAUAAAUUGCAAAUUUUAUUCAGCGAUCAUCAGCGCAUCUGUUCGCUAGAUCACGCAUCAUAAUCAAGAUGUCAAGGUUCUUAAGUCCUUCUUUAUUGCAUCAUUGGUAUUUAUGUGCAUUCAUAAAAGCAAAAACCUUGAAUUUCAUAACCAAACAAAAAUUUUACCCCGACAAUCAAAUAAUAUUUGUUUUCGUGUUGCCUGGCAACGAAUUUCGUCCUUCGAAACUUCACGAACUUUUCAAGAGUGAACACUUUGCACUUGUUCUUGUAGUUUUCGUUCUUAGCUGGAAUAUUUCUCACAGUUUGUAAGUAUUGUUGAAGCAUGACUUGGCUUAUACUUGCUAAUAGAGUUACGCGUGCUUGAAUGUGAACUAGCUCAACUGCUCUGUUUUGUCAAGUAUUUGAAGUAUGACAACUCCAGUUGUUCCUGUCGUCACAACACAAUUUUCUGCAGUUCAAACAAGAUACUGGUCAACAGGAGUUUUGGAUGUUUUGAAGACAUCGAGUCAUGUAUGUUGAAGGCUUGAUUGUUCACCAUUGGUGUGAAUAAGUUGAUUAUUCUUAACCUUUUUUCAGGUCUUUUUGGUUUUUUCUGUCCAUUUUGCUCACUUUUUAGUCUUUCUCGGCGCAUGAGUGAAAAUUGUUGUUUACCAGUCUGUCCUGGCUCUUUAUUUGCAAUGCGUACUAAACUGAGGAUUGAAAAUGGAAUUCAGGGUACUUUAUGUAACGAUGCCAUGUGCUCUCUCUUCUGCAGUCCUUGUGUUUCUUGUCAACUAUCGCGAGAGUUGAACGCAAUAGGACGAUAGGAAAUAUCUUCAAAAUGAUAUAUUUUGAUGAGUCGCUCAAAA